This 403-nucleotide ribosomal RNA is filed under the name uncultured microorganism. RNAcentral's name for it is "bacterial SSU rRNA". It matches the Rfam family "Archaeal small subunit ribosomal RNA", at positions 330 to 735 of the family's 1478-position model. The record is from RNAcentral.
GCGCAGCAGGCGCGAAUCCUUCGCAAUGCGGGAAACCGCGACGAGGGGACUCCCAGUGCCUACGCUCAGCGUAGGCUGUUCCCGAGCCUAGAAAGCUCGGGGAGUAAGGGCUGGGUAAGACGGGUGCCAGCCGCCGCGGUAAUACCCGCAGCCCGAGUGGUGGCCACUAUUAUUGGGCCUAAAGCGUCCGUAGCCGGCCCGGUAAAUGCCUGGGUAAAUCGUGAGGCCUAACCUCACGAAUUCCGGGUAGACUGCCGGGCUAGGGACCGGAGGAGGGAGAGGGUACUCCAGGGGUAGGGGUGAAAUCCUGUAAUCCCUGGAGGACCACCGGUGGCGAAGGCGCUCUCCUAGGACGGGUCCGACGGUGAGGGACGAAAGCCAGGGGAGCGAACCGGAUUAGAUA